GUGCGCACUUCAGCAGCACAGAUACUAAAAUUGGAAUGAUACGGAGAUUAGCAUGUCCCCUGUGCAAGGAUGACACACAAAUUUGUGAAGUGUUACAAUAAAAA
This is a small nuclear RNA of Arvicola amphibius (Eurasian water vole), 104 nucleotides long. The record is from RefSeq and is a predicted model, not a curated record. Lineage: Eukaryota; Metazoa; Chordata; Mammalia; Rodentia; Cricetidae.